Molecule: non-coding RNA, 1268 nt
Organism: Python bivittatus (Burmese python)
Lineage: Eukaryota; Metazoa; Chordata; Lepidosauria; Squamata; Pythonidae
Source: RefSeq, a predicted model, not a curated record
AACAACAGAAGACCUUCCUCAGACAUAUUUGCUAGUCACCCAUCAUGGCCAGCCUGAAGUUUGCUGUUCUGACCAUCCUGAUCUUGGCUUUCUAUUAUCAACCCAUAGCAGGAAGAUGCCCCCUCUGUCCAGAAGAAUGUUGCUUCUCUUUUAGGGAAGGAAAACCCCUUGCCGUAAAAGGAAUAUCAGCCUACAGGAGAACUGCUGCAAAGUGUAGCUUGAAUGCUACAGUGCUUAUUAUGAAGACCGGCAGAGAAUUGUGCAUCAGUGGUGAAGAACGUUGGAUGCAGAGGGUGUUGAAGAUCGUCCCAGAGAAAAAGAGAUGAUUGAAACGGAAGACCUCUCUCUGUCCCUUAUCUGCUUCACUGAGUUGUAUCUGUUGGACUGGUGUGCUUGGGCAUGUGAACAUAUAAUUUGCAAAUUUAAGCUAGGUUGAAAAUGGUCGGAAAUAGGCUUGCUCUUCAACCUCCUCCCCAAAGUUCUUUGGGAACUAUGGUUGUCCUUGCUUGUCCCAGCCCUGCAUACAGUUUGUUGUUGGGCCAAGCAGAGUGCAAUGGGCAAGGGAAUCCGGUAAAUAAGAAGAGUUGUGCAGGAUUUGCUAAUUGUAUCCAGGGUCUUGCUUCCCCAGUGCUGGGAUAUUGCAAUAGUAGGAUCUCCAAGAAUGUAUGAAUGAACGUAAUGAAUCCCUCCUUAUCACCCUAACUGGCUUUAUUGCAGAACCUGUUCCUUUACAGGUAGUCCUCGUUUAGCGAGUACCUCAUUUAGCAGCCGUUCACAGUUACAACAGUGAUGAAAAAGUAACUGUGUGACCAAUCCUCUCACUGACAACCUUCGUAGGUCUGUCAAGCAAAGGAAAGCUGAAGUAAGAUCAUAAGCACAGUUGUGGUUUCACUUAGUGACCACUUCACUUAACAGCCAAGUUGCUAGUCCCAAUUGUGGUCACUGAAUGAGGACUACCUGUAGUUCCAUCAACGGCUAUUCUGGUUCCCAAAGGCAGUGCUCAGCACUGGCCAUAGGGGGGCGGUCCCUUUCUUUGGGGUUACACAGGGAGACCCCCUCAGAGGGUCUUUUCAGCUUCUCUUGAGAGAAGUCCUCCAGCUGCAGUCCAGGAAUGCUGUUUCUCCAGUCAACAGUUUUGCUAUUGUGGCUUUAUUUUAAACUUCCUCAUAUUUAUCGCUUGUAGAAUCUUCAGACCAAUGUAAUUUACUUUCUUUAUUUGAAGGAAGAGCAAUGGGAUAUAAGCUAUCUGAGUGAAAAUAAAGUUUUGA